This 960-nucleotide ribosomal RNA is filed under the name Vibrio harveyi. Its description in RNAcentral is "bacterial SSU rRNA". It matches the Rfam family "Bacterial small subunit ribosomal RNA", at positions 64 to 1016 of the family's 1533-position model. Lineage: Bacteria; Pseudomonadati; Pseudomonadota; Gammaproteobacteria; Vibrionales; Vibrionaceae. The record is from RNAcentral.
GAGUUAUCUGAACCUUCGGGGGACGAUAACGGCGUCGAGCGGCGGACGGGUGAGUAAUGCCUAGGAAAUUGCCCUGAUGUGGGGGAUAACCAUUGGAAACGAUGGCUAAUACCGCAUAAUACCUACGGGUCAAAGAGGGGGACCUUCGGGCCUCUCGCGUCAGGAUAUGCCUAGGUGGGAUUAGCUAGUUGGUGAGGUAAUGGCUCACCAAGGCGACGAUCCCUAGCUGGUCUGAGAGGAUGAUCAGCCACACUGGAACUGAGACACGGUCCAGACUCCUACGGGAGGCAGCAGUGGGGAAUAUUGCACAAUGGGCGCAAGCCUGAUGCAGCCAUGCCGCGUGUGUGAAGAAGGCCUUCGGGUUGUAAAGCACUUUCAGUCGUGAGGAAGGUAGUGUAGUUAAUAGCUGCAUUAUUUGACGUUAGCGACAGAAGAAGCACCGGCUAACUCCGUGCCAGCAGCCGCGGUAAUACGGAGGGUGCGAGCGUUAAUCGGAAUUACUGGGCGUAAAGCGCAUGCAGGUGGUUUGUUAAGUCAGAUGUGAAAGCCCGGGGCUCAACCUCGGAAUAGCAUUUGAAACUGGCAGACUAGAGUACUGUAGAGGGGGGUAGAAUUUCAGGUGUAGCGGUGAAAUGCGUAGAGAUCUGAAGGAAUACCGGUGGCGAAGGCGGCCCCCUGGACAGAUACUGACACUCAGAUGCGAAAGCGUGGGGAGCAAACAGGAUUAGAUACCCUGGUAGUCCACGCCGUAAACGAUGUCUACUUGGAGGUUGUGGCCUUGAGCCGUGGCUUUCGGAGCUAACGCGUUAAGUAGACCGCCUGGGGAGUACGGUCGCAAGAUUAAAACUCAAAUGAAUUGACGGGGCCCGCACAAGCGGUGGAGCAUGUGGUUUAAUUCGAUGCAACGCGAGAACCUUACCUACUCUUGACAUCCAGAGACUUUCCAGAGAUGGAUUGUGC